GGAGGGAAUGGAGCUGGUGCUCCCCGCGGAAUGCAAAUCCGCUGGCCAUGCCUAACGGCGGGGGUGGCGUUCGAUUCCCACUUCCCUCCUCCA
RNAcentral lists this transfer RNA (93 nucleotides) under Bacillota bacterium. RNAcentral describes it as "tRNA-OTHER". It matches the Rfam family "Selenocysteine transfer RNA". Lineage: Bacteria; Bacillati; Bacillota. The record is from RNAcentral. RNAcentral also lists the same sequence under 4 other names.